AUAAAUUGCCCAGAAACCAACAGUGGUAGCAACUGGGCUGGCCCAUGUGUAUAUUACCAUACAACCACGAAUCACAGAGAUCGCUGUCAGUAUCAACAACCAAACUCCAAUCGCCAACAAACCAUAGGCAUGGUGAUUAUCAGUCAUGUUUUCGCCAGAUAUUGAUGUUUUCAAAAAAAUGAUAAUUAUAACAUCUAUGUCUACGACGUUUGUUCUGUACAGACUGUCAGUGCGUCGUUUAAAUGGGCU
Molecule: non-coding RNA, 249 nt
Organism: Paramuricea clavata
Lineage: Eukaryota; Metazoa; Cnidaria; Anthozoa; Malacalcyonacea; Plexauridae
Source: the annotation of a GenBank genome assembly